GUGAGGAAUAUUGCGCAAUGGAGGCAACUCUGACGCAGCCAUGCCGCGUGCAGGAAGAAGGCGCUACGCGUUGUAAACUGCUUUUAACCGGGAAGAAACCCCAGGACGUGUCCUGGGUUGACGGUACCGGAGGAAUAAGCACCGGCUAACUUCGUGCCAGCAGCCGCGGUAAUACGAAGGGUGCAAGCGUUAUCCGGAUUCAUUGGGUUUAAAGGGUGCGUAGGCGGAGCGUUAAGUCAGUGGUGAAAUCCUGCAGCUUAACUGUAGACUUGCCAUUGAUACUGGCGCUCUUGAGUGCGCUUGAAGUGGGCGGAAUGUGCCGUGUAGCGGUGAAAUGCUUAGAUAUGGCACAGAACACCAAUUGCGAAGGCAGCUCACUAAGGCGAUACUGACGCUGUGGCACGAAAGCGUGGGGAUCGAACAGGAUUAGAUACCCUUGUAGUCC
RNAcentral lists this ribosomal RNA (445 nucleotides) under uncultured bacterium. RNAcentral's name for it is "partial 16S ribosomal RNA". It matches the Rfam family "Bacterial small subunit ribosomal RNA", at positions 354 to 796 of the family's 1533-position model. The record is from RNAcentral.